ACCUAAGGUAGAGGCGCUAUUAAUAAAGAGUACUUAUUAUGAGUUGGCAAACGUUGAUUUGUAAGGAAAGGUAUUAUGGCCGAAGAUUUAAAUCAUGCAAAGAUUUAUUUCUGGGUAUGCAUAAAAUAUAUGUAUAACUGUCACGAAAGUGGAGAGCUACAAGGAUG
Molecule: regulatory RNA element, 167 nt
Organism: Clostridium sp. DL-VIII
Lineage: Bacteria; Bacillati; Bacillota; Clostridia; Eubacteriales; Clostridiaceae
Rfam family: Lysine riboswitch aptamer
About the family: Riboswitches are metabolite binding domains within certain messenger RNAs that serve as precision sensors for their corresponding targets. Allosteric rearrangement of mRNA structure is mediated by ligand binding, and this results in modulation of gene expression. This family includes riboswitches that sense lysine in a number of genes involved in lysine metabolism, including lysC.
Source: Rfam